GCGGGCUUAGUUCAGUGGAAGAACGACAGCCUUCCAAGCUGUAUGUCAUCGGUUCGAUCCCGAUAGCCCGCUCCA
This 75-nucleotide transfer RNA is filed under the name Paraburkholderia caffeinitolerans. RNAcentral describes it as "tRNA-Gly". It matches the Rfam family "tRNA". From Rfam's summary of the family: Transfer RNA (tRNA) molecules are approximately 80 nucleotides in length. Their secondary structure includes four short double-helical elements and three loops (D, anti-codon, and T loops). Lineage: Bacteria; Pseudomonadati; Pseudomonadota; Betaproteobacteria; Burkholderiales; Burkholderiaceae. The record is from RNAcentral.